This is a long non-coding RNA of Homo sapiens (human), 297 nucleotides long. RefSeq lists it as uncharacterized. The record is from RefSeq and is a predicted model, not a curated record. The transcript has 3 exons. Lineage: Eukaryota; Metazoa; Chordata; Mammalia; Primates; Hominidae.
CAGAAACUGUGAACCCAGGGAAAUCCUCUUUGUCUGGUGUUGUGGCAACUUGGAGGAGGGGAAGCGAAGAUGCAGUCAGAAAUUUCCAUGAGUGAGCUGUCAUACAGCAGCAAUGUAGAGUGUUAGAGGACAUGUCAGAACUCUGAGAUAGCUACUCAGGAAGUGUCAACAUUUCAAAGCCGUAUUCAUCAACACUAUCAUGCAAAGUAAACUCACAUUAACAGAUAUUGAAAAACAUUGAAACUUUUCAUAUUAUCUGAACUAAACAUUGUAGAAUGAAUAGAAGUACAAUUAUGA